GUGCCAGCCCCAGAUAGCUCAGGUUUCUUAAGGAUGAAGAAUAUCAAGCAGAAAAUCCUGACGACAUCCCCCAACCCCAAUUCCUGCUCAUGCUUAUGGAGUUGCUUCCUCUUUGAGUUUAACAGUCCCACCAGUUAUUCAGGAUUUCAUCAAGUGCCAAUUCCGUCAUGAAACUCAGCUUGCAGGCUCCGAGUGGAAAGCAUGCAGUGGGAGUCUUAGAACAAAGGAGCUGGGAAGGCUUAGAGCCGUUACCAAACCCCACCUUGCUGCAGCUGAAGCAAGCUAACUGGCUGACCAACAAACAUCUGCCCACAAGUCCCACUCGCCCACCAAACCCUGAUCCCCACAGCUCUUAAGCUCUCUUGACGCUCAUCUG
Molecule: long non-coding RNA, 376 nt
Organism: Ochotona princeps (American pika)
Lineage: Eukaryota; Metazoa; Chordata; Mammalia; Lagomorpha; Ochotonidae
Exons: 3
Source: RefSeq, a predicted model, not a curated record